GCGGGUAUAGCUCAGUGGUAGAGCACAUGCUUAGCAUGCAUGAAGUCCUGGGUACAAUCCCCAGUAUCUUCA
RNAcentral lists this transfer RNA (72 nucleotides) under Camelus dromedarius (Arabian camel). It matches the Rfam family "tRNA". Rfam says of the family: Transfer RNA (tRNA) molecules are approximately 80 nucleotides in length. Their secondary structure includes four short double-helical elements and three loops (D, anti-codon, and T loops). The record is from Rfam by way of RNAcentral. Lineage: Eukaryota; Metazoa; Chordata; Mammalia; Artiodactyla; Camelidae. RNAcentral also lists the same sequence under 1 other name.